CCUACGGGGGGCUGCAAUUAGGAAUCUUGCGCAAUGGACGAAAGUCUGACGCAGCGACGCCGCGUGAGGGAUGACGGCCUUCGGGUUGUAAACCUCUUUUAUCAGGGAAGAAGAAUGUGACGGUACCUGAUGAAUAAGCCCCGGCUAACUACGUGCCAGCAGCCGCGGUAAUACGUAGGGGGCGAGCGUUGUCCGAAGUUACUGGGCGUAAAGCGCACGUAGGCGGUUAUCUAAGUCUGGGGUGAAAGGUUCAGUGCUUAACGCGAACAGUGCCU
Molecule: ribosomal RNA, 275 nt
Filed under: uncultured bacterium
Lineage: Bacteria
Description: partial 16S ribosomal RNA
Rfam family: Bacterial small subunit ribosomal RNA
Source: RNAcentral